RNAcentral lists this ribosomal RNA (721 nucleotides) under Luteolibacter gellanilyticus. RNAcentral's name for it is "bacterial SSU rRNA". It matches the Rfam family "Bacterial small subunit ribosomal RNA", at positions 109 to 830 of the family's 1533-position model. The record is from RNAcentral. Lineage: Bacteria; Pseudomonadati; Verrucomicrobiota; Verrucomicrobiia; Verrucomicrobiales; Verrucomicrobiaceae.
AGUAACACGUGAAUCACAUGCCCUUCAGUGGGGGAUAGCCCAGGGAAACUUGGAUUAAUACCCCAUGGUCUCGCGAGAGUAAAGGCGGCUUCGGCUGUCGCUGAAGGAUUGGUUCGCGCCCUAUCAGCUUGUUGGCGGGGUAACGGCCCACCAAGGCUACGACGGGUACCUGGUUUGAGAGGACGAUCAGGCACACUGGAACUGAGACACGGUCCAGACACCUACGGGUGGCAGCAGUCGAGAAUAAUUCACAAUGGGGGCAACCCUGAUGGUGCAACGCCGCGUGGAGGAUGAAGGUCUUCGGAUUGUAAACUCCUGUCAUCCGGGAGUAAGACCUGGCGGUUAACAGCCGACAGGGUUGAUAGUACCGGAAGAGGAAGGGACGGCUAACUUCGUGCCAGCAGCCGCGGUAAUACGAAGGUCCCGAGCGUUGUUCGGAAUCACUGGGCGUAAAGGGAGCGUAGGCGGUGCGGUAAGUCAGAUGUGAAAUCCCGGGGCUCAACCCCGGAACUGCAUCCGAUACUGCCGUGCUAGAGCAAUGGAGGGGUAGCCGGAAUUCUCGGUGUAGCAGUGAAAUGCGUGGAUAUCGAGAGGAACACUCGUGGCGAAGGCGGGCUACUGGACAUUUGCUGACGCUGAGGCUCGAAGGCCGGGGGAGCGAAAGGGAUUAGAUACCCCUGUAGUCCCGGCAGUAAACGGGUGUGCGCUUGGUGUGAGAGGA